Argiope bruennichi is the source of this 580-nucleotide long non-coding RNA. RefSeq lists it as uncharacterized. The record is from RefSeq and is a predicted model, not a curated record. The transcript is spliced from 3 exons. Lineage: Eukaryota; Metazoa; Arthropoda; Arachnida; Araneae; Araneidae.
UCUUUGGAAGAAGAGAAGGAUUGAUGAGACAUUUCAAGACUCUCAAAAACCGAUAAAUAUUCUGAAGAUUUGCUACUUCUCAUUUUGUUGUUCCUUGUAUAAGGUUGAAGACUGAUUUUGUAAAUUAUAGAAAAUGUCUGUAUAUAUUCGAACUCGAAAGAUAAUGCAAUUUAUUAAUGUCUAUGGUACUACUGAAUGUUUUAAAUAUCCCGAAGUCUUCAGUACUAGCAGGUACCAUUUUUAAAACCUGUUCACUAUAGAUGCUGGACUAGAUGAUAAUGGCUCAUCAUUCCGCAAAGAUUAAGUGUGAAGUAGAAGCGACACCUUCAUCUUUAUACCCAACUCUCCUGAUGUGAUGGAUUUCAUAUAUCGAAGUUAUCGUCGCUGCCAAGUGUCGUCCUUUCGAUUUCUUUUUGAAAAUACAAUACUGGAUCCAAGCUGGUUUCGGAAAAGAUCCCCAUCUGAAUCGCACCACACUGAACCAAGCCAUUUUUAGAUGGAAGAGGAAGAUAUUUUCUCUUGGAUUUCCCAUUCUAUCGCAUUAGACUAACCAGAUUGACAUGUUUUGACCGAAAUGACC